UACGUAGGGUGCAAGCGUUAAUCGGAAUUACUGGGCGUAAAGCGUGCGCAGGCGGUUAUGUAAGACAGUUGUGAAAUCCCCGGGCUCAACCUGGGAACUGCAUCUGUGACUGCAUAGCUAGAGUACGGUAGAGGGGGAUGGAACUCCGCGUGUAGCAGUGAAAUGCGUAGAUAUGCGGAGGAACACCGAUGGCGAAGGCAAUCCCCUGGACCUGUACUGACGCUCAUGCACGAAAGCGUGGGGAGCAAACAGG
Molecule: ribosomal RNA, 253 nt
Filed under: uncultured bacterium
Lineage: Bacteria
Description: partial 16S ribosomal RNA
Rfam family: Bacterial small subunit ribosomal RNA
Source: RNAcentral